Cyprinus carpio carpio is the source of this 1181-nucleotide long non-coding RNA. NCBI's taxonomy places the organism in Eukaryota, Metazoa, Chordata, Actinopteri, Cypriniformes, Cyprinidae. The record is from Ensembl.
AAGUGUUUUUGAAAUAUGAGAACAGUGUUCGCUCGUUAGCAGUAAAGUGGUGCUUACAUUAGACGAUCGCGAUUGCACUGGAUCUGAAGAAAAUAGGAAACAGAAAAAAGUUAAUUCACUCGAGAGAAACCAAAAGAGAGAUUUUUAUUUUUCCAUCCGGGAUUGUUCGGUUUACUCACUAUUUCUCUUGCAAUGCUGAUUCUGGAUCUGGAGUUUUGUUGACGUUUGGGAGAAUUGUUUCUGCUGUCCAUCGAGAGAGAGAGAGAGAGACACACGGUUGCAGAAACUGGCGAGCCAUCCCAUUUCAUAGAAUCUGGAAGUUGUUCAUCACACUGGUAGGAAAUAUUGUGUAAACCUGUUUUUUACUUUUUGGACACAUUUUUUGCUAAGCAUCGAAACUCUUUUCACUCAAGGAUCUGAGUAUUUUAUUGGUUACACGUAGGACAGUUAUUUCAAAGGACUAAGUAUUUGCUUUGGACUGAUACCUUUUCAUCUGGUUAUUUACCUGUGCAUUUUUGUUGUUUACUUUCUGUUGAGUUUUCUGAAAGAGUGUAAAACAUUGUUGGUUAUUUUAAGAGUGAAACUUUGAAUUUACAUUUUCAAGAGUGUGAAGUUGUAUCAAACCAAAGAGUUAUAUAUAUUAUAUCAUAAUCUCAUUAAACUAUAGAUAAAUAAGUAUAAAAUAAAUAUAAAUAUAUAAUUAAUAUAAUCAAAUAAUAGAUAAACAUAUUAAGAGGUAUUUAGGAGCUUUACAUAAAGGGAGAGUUAAAGUGACUACUGUAAGUAGUUAUUUCCAUUAAUUGAAAAGUGUUUGGUUCACUUGAGAUUUACCAUUGUCUAUUCAAAUUGUUAUUCUUUUGCUCUUUCAAACAAUCAAAAUCUACAUAAAUACUUACCUUUUCCAGAAGUUGUUGUUGUGUUCUUUCUCCUGCUGCAAUCCUGACUCCUGAGCGAACGUAGUCUUCUGAUCCGGCCCACACAUACAUAGAAGUAGCUGUGAAACCAAAUUAUUUCCUUCCGUGCAUUCUUCGCGGGUGUUACAGUGAGACAGAAGAUCACUUAUCCAACUCCAAAAUAUUGGCUUGGUCCAAAAUCUGGUGAGCUGCCAUACUUCAAAAGUGACUGAUUUGUAAUGUUUUUCAUAAGCAACAACAACUCUGCACAACACACAUAUAACGAUU